This 386-nucleotide ribosomal RNA is filed under the name uncultured bacterium. Its description in RNAcentral is "bacterial SSU rRNA". It matches the Rfam family "Bacterial small subunit ribosomal RNA", at positions 30 to 417 of the family's 1533-position model. The record is from RNAcentral.
AUUGAACGCUGGCGGCAUGCCUUACACAUGCAAGUCGAACGGCAGCACGGGAGCAAUCCUGGUGGCGAGUGGCGAACGGGUGAGUAAUAUAUCGGAACGUGCCCAGUCGUGGGGAUAACGUAGCGAAAGCUACGCUAAUACCGCAUACGAUCUAUGGAUGAAAGCGGGGGAUCGCAAGACCUCGCGCGAUUGGAGCGGCCGAUAUCAGAUUAGGUAGUUGGUGAGGUAAAGGCUCACCAAGCCGACGAUCUGUAGCUGGUCUGAGAGGACGACCAGCCACACUGGGACUGAGACACGGCCCAGACUCCUACGGGAGGCAGCAGUGGGGAAUUUUGGACAAUGGGCGAAAGCCUGAUCCAGCAAUGCCGCGUGCAGGAAGAAGGCCU